This 1259-nucleotide long non-coding RNA is filed under the name Equus asinus (donkey). RNAcentral's name for it is "lncRNA (ENSEASG00005031436.1)". Lineage: Eukaryota; Metazoa; Chordata; Mammalia; Perissodactyla; Equidae. The record is from RNAcentral.
CCCUUGACCUGUUACCACAGGGGUCUGCCACACCCACUAGAGCACAGAUUUAAUCCAGUUCAGGCAGGGCAGGCAGCCCACCCUAGGGACCGGCCCUGCCCAACAGCAACCCCUCAGGCUACUUGUCUGCCUGCUUUGACUGGGUGCCUUGAUCCUCCACAGGCAGAUGGGAGGUUCAGGAUUUAAAUUACCAGCUGAGAAGCAGCACUAAAUGUAAUGUGUUCUUAUAAGAGAUGCGCAGAUUUAACUACGGAAGAGGAGAAGGAUAUGGGACCACACUGCUGGCUUUGAAGGUGGAGGAAGAGGCCAAUAAACGAAGGGAUACAAGGAAUGCACAAGCUUGAAAAGGAAGGAAGCAAAUUCUCUUCUGAACAGAAGGAGUGCAGCCCUGCCAACAGUCUGGUUUUAGGCAUCUGACCAGAACUAUAAGAGAAUAAAUUUGCUUUGCUUUAAGCCACUAAAUUUGCGGUAGUUUGUUAUAGAGGCAUUGAUAAAUAAUUCAAGAAGGAUGGUGAAGUCUUGUUGACCUCAGCAGGGAUGGGGACCAGGAUAUGUUUGAAAAAGUCCAUUCUGAAUGGAAGUGAGUGAUGAUGAUUGCUUUAUCUCCCCUAGCUGCAGUUUCUGGCUUAGAAGACCACAAAUAUGAAUGUGUAAAAAUAGCUUUGUAAUAAACUGGUAUUUUUGCUUUUAUCUGAAUAUUGCUCUCUUACGUGGAGCCUUCAAUGUGUUGAUAGUUUGUUUUUCAUUUUUCUUCGUAAGUUAUGGUAACAGACAACAGCAGGCUUGCGGUGUCCAUGUGAAUGAAUUACUUUCAACUCUUAUCUCAUUCAAUUGGUGUUUAUUACAGUGGCUUCCAACCUAUGGCAUGUGUCAGAAGAAUUUAAGUUUGUAAAAGUAUGCGGAUGGAUCUCAACCUGAUGUAACCAAUCAGAACCUCCUUAAGUGUUUAUUUUUACAUUGCUCCACAGAGAUUAUAAAAUGCACAGAAAGUUCAAAACAAUUGAUUUACCAAGUCCCUGCCAUUGACUGAUGUAAUGCGAAACGUUCCCAAAAUAUUGCUUCUUUUGUAACAGAUUUAACACACUUGUGGUUCUAUCUUUGUCAUGAUACCCAUGUGUCUGUGAUGGUAAAUAUAAAUAAAGCCAUGCCAAAAGGCUCAGAAAUUUUCCUUAAAAGUGCAUUAAAUAAUGCCAAAUAUGAGAUUUGUUACUAAAAUGUGGACUAUUUCAGGAAAUUGCCAGUCUGUCUUAGGCUGGAUG